Canis lupus familiaris (dog) is the source of this 1431-nucleotide long non-coding RNA. RefSeq lists it as uncharacterized. The record is from RefSeq and is a predicted model, not a curated record. Lineage: Eukaryota; Metazoa; Chordata; Mammalia; Carnivora; Canidae. The transcript is spliced from 6 exons.
CAAGGAUUUGGGGACUUUAGGGAGUACAUAAUUUCAAGAGACAGAAAAGGAUGCUGCACCCCAUCUGGAUAUGAACUUCCUUGCAGUGCACAUCAACCACCCCUCCCCCAAAGGGAUGCUGAAAGCUUUGCCGUCAGCCCCUGUAAUCAUCUCCAUGACCAUCCUAGCCUAGUUGGCUGGGCUUCUGCAGGUGCCAGACUUUAUUCACCUGAGUCACAGACACUCCUGCAAUGAUAGCACUCGGAGUCCCUCUUUAGAGCCUAGAUACCCGAAGGUCACUUGGAGAGAUUUUUCAGGUUACCAGCUUGACAGUCUUUAUCUGAGAAGAGGCACUGGAGGCUUCUCAAGGAUAUAUCCAUUCAUGGGAUAUUUGUUGAGAGCUUACAAUGAAGCAGGAAAACCUGGAAAGAUGACUAGAAGAUGGUCGCUAAUGAGAGAUGCAGAAACUGAGACCACUUAAUUUUUUUGCUUGGAAGACAUCUAUACAAAUCGGCAGUCCCUAACAUUACCAUGUUGCAGAAAGUGAGGCCUGGAAGGGAACUCUGAGAUCAAUCUGUCCAACCCCUUUAUGGUACAGAUGGAGAAGCUGAGGACCAGGUGGUUGACGAAUGUUUAUAAAGUGGAUGCAUACAUGCAGCCAGCACCCAGAUCAAGUAAUAGGAUACUACCAGCACCUAAAGCCCUCUUCAUGAUCCCUGCUCAUCUCAGCCCUGCUUCCUUCCCAGUGGUAACCACUACCCUGACCUCUGCUGUCAUUGAUUCAUUUUGCCUUUUCUGGAGUUGUACAAGAGUGAUCGUACACAGUGUCUUUGCAAAUGGUAACAUUCGACUUGAGAGGCAACUCAGAUUUUAAAGAUGAUUUUAGCUGAAAAAAAAAAAAUGUUGAGGCACAUGGAGAUCAUGUGCUAUGCACUAUGCUACUGAGAAGUUAAGAAUGGAUUCUAGAAACCAAGAGGUAUAAACAAGAAGAGAAAGAACUGGACGUGACAUUAGGCACACCUGAAUCCUACCUCUACUACAUACUACCUCUAGGUGCCACAAUGUCCUCAUUUAUAAUACGUGAAGACAAAUUAACUAAUUAACUUAUUAACUCAGUAAGCAUUUAUUGAACAGUUACUAUGUGUCAGUAAUGUGAGCUAUUUAAAAUAUUAAAUCAGAAGAAAAUCAGCACAUUGUAGGAAGUCAAUAAAUACCAAUUUCCUUCCCAUAUAUAAGAAAGGUGGCACAGUGUACGUCGAAUUAUAAAUUUCCAGUUCCCUGUUGCUAACUUUAAACCGAAGCUAGCCCAUUAUUGGUCCAUUAACUUGGGCCUCCGUGGCAAAAAGCAGUAUCUUAUUACUUGGGAAUUGACUUGUGAGUUUAAUAAGUAAUAACAUUCACCACCCUGAAAAUCUCAGGAGAGAAAUGUUGCAGAGGGUAAUUGAGAUAUUC